AAGUAUGUCAUCCGUUUGGCUUAGUUUGCUGUACAUAUACGCUCACACAAAAUAUCAUGUCAAAAUUUGUGCAGUAAACCUGAUACUGCAUGUAUGUAAAGUUUUAUGCUCUAUGCAAGUUAGAUAGAUAGAUAUUUUAUUCUCUGAAAACUGAGUUCAAGUUUACAGAGAAACAUAUGUAAUAUAAAUACAAAUACAAUAAAUUUCUAGC
This 211-nucleotide long non-coding RNA is filed under the name Mytilus galloprovincialis (Mediterranean mussel). The record is from RNAcentral. Lineage: Eukaryota; Metazoa; Mollusca; Bivalvia; Mytilida; Mytilidae.